AUUGAACGCUGGCGGCAUGCCUUACACAUGCAAGUCGAACGGCAGCACGGGUGCUUGCACCUGGUGGCGAGUGGCGAACGGGUGAGUAAUACAUCGGAACGUACCUUAUCGUGGGGGAUAACGCAGCGAAAGCUGUGCUAAUACCGCAUACGCCCUGAGGGGGAAAGCGGGGGAUCGCAGGACCUCGCGCGAUUAGAGCGGCCGAUGCCUGAUUAGCUUGUUGGUGGGGUAAAAGCCCACCAAGGCGACGAUCAGUAGCUGGUCUGAGAGGACGAUCAGCCACACUGGGACUGAGACACGGCCCAGACUCCUACGGGAGGCAGCAGUGGGGAAUUUUGGACAAUGGGGGCAACCCUGAUCCAGCAAUGCCGCGUGAGUGAAGAAGGCCUUCGGGUUGUAAAGCUCUUUUGUCAGGGAAGAAACACCGGCUCUAACACAGUCCGGGAAUGACGGUACCUGAAGAAUAAGCAUCGGCUAACUACGUGCCAGCAGCCGCCGUAA
Molecule: ribosomal RNA, 501 nt
Filed under: uncultured bacterium
Lineage: Bacteria
Description: partial 16S ribosomal RNA
Rfam family: Bacterial small subunit ribosomal RNA
Source: RNAcentral